CCUGUCCUACGGGGCGCAGCAGUUAGGAAUAUUCGUCAAUGGGGGAAACCCUGAACGAGCAAUGCCGCGUGAACGAUGACGGUCCUCUGGAUUGUAAAGUUCUGUUGUUUGGGAAGAACGGCUCUAAUAGGAAAUGAUUAGAGAUUGACUGUACCAUUCAAGAAAGCCACGGCUAACUACGUGCCAGCAGCCGCGGUAAUACGUAGGUGGCGAGCGUUAUCCGGAUUCAUUGGGUUUAAAGGGUGCGUAGGUUGUUUUAUAAGUUAGCGGUGAAAUACCGAUGCUCAACAUCGGGGCUGCCGCUA
RNAcentral lists this ribosomal RNA (305 nucleotides) under uncultured bacterium. RNAcentral's name for it is "bacterial SSU rRNA". It matches the Rfam family "Bacterial small subunit ribosomal RNA", at positions 333 to 629 of the family's 1533-position model. The record is from RNAcentral.